AUGCAAGUCGAACGGUAACAGGAAGCAGCUUGCUGCAUCGCUGACGAGUGGCGGACGGGUGAGUAAUGUCUGGGGAUCUGCCUGAUGGAGGGGGAUAACUACUGGAAACGGUAGCUAAUACCGCAUAACGUCACAAGACCAAAGAGGGGGACCUUCGGGCCCCUUGCCAUCAGAUGAACCCAGAUGGGAUUAGCUAGUAGGUGGGGUAACGGCUCACCUAGGCGACGAUCCCUAGCUGGUCUGAGAGGAUGACCAGCCACACUGGAACUGAGACACGGUCCAGACUCCUACGGGAGGCAGCAGUGGGGAAUAUUGCACAAUGGGCGCAAGCCUGAUGCAGCCAUGCCGCGUGUAUGAAGAAGGCCUUCGGGUUGUAAAGUACUUUCAGCGAGGAGGAAGGUGGUGAGUUUAAUACACUCAUCAAUUGACGUUACUCGCAGAAGAAGCACCGGCUAACUCCGUGCCAGCAGCCGCGGUAAUACGGAGGGUGCAAGCGUUAAUCGGAAUUACUGGGCGUAAAGCGCACGCAGGCGGUCUGUCAAGUCGGAUGUGAAAUCCCCGGGCUCAACCUGGGAACUGCAUCCGAAACUGGCAGGCUUGAGUC
Molecule: ribosomal RNA, 604 nt
Filed under: uncultured Gammaproteobacteria bacterium
Lineage: Bacteria; Pseudomonadati; Pseudomonadota; Gammaproteobacteria
Description: bacterial SSU rRNA
Rfam family: Bacterial small subunit ribosomal RNA
Source: RNAcentral